GCCGGCAACAGGCCCGCCCUAACCUGAGGGCGGCUCCAGAACUGUCCUUUUCUUCACUGGCCCUGGCGCCGCUGAUCUUCCAAAGCUUCUCUCUCAUGACACCUCUUGGAAGUUUUCCGACUUAGACCCGUAGAGAAUUGGAGAACUAUGGACCCUCUCUCUAGAAAAAUGCUCACCCACACAGAAGCAGAGUUUUGCAUGGUAUUGCAGGGCGUUUUGAAACUUCUCAAGUGUCAAGACCGCCAACUUCAGACCUCUACAGGUGCCUGCGGGAGGAUGUCUGUUUUGCAAGAGGCAAAGGACAGAGGAGAUCUUAGAUGCUUGAAAAGCACAGGAGGAUUCUGAGAAGUGUGGACAGACAGAGUUAUGAUGCUGCCAGAGGAGUAACACCAUGCCAGGCAUUACUGGCCAAUGAAGACCCACCUGACAGCAAUCACUGGAUGCUCUGGAAAAGAAAUUGGGC
Non-coding RNA from Cricetulus griseus (Chinese hamster), 463 nucleotides. Lineage: Eukaryota; Metazoa; Chordata; Mammalia; Rodentia; Cricetidae. The record is from RefSeq and is a predicted model, not a curated record.